UGGGGAAUAUUGCACAAUGGAGGAAACUCUGAUGCAGCGACGCCGCGUGAAUGAUGAAGGCCUUCGGGUCGUAAAAUUCUGUCCUUGGGGAAGAUAAUGACGGUACCCAAGGAGGAAGCCCCGGCUAACUACGUGCCAGCAGCCGCGGUAAUACGUAGGGGGCGAGCGUUGUCCGGAAUUAUUGGGCGUAAAGGGUUCGCAGGCGGUCUGAUAAGUCAGAUGUGAAAGGCAAUGGCUCAACCAUUGUAAGCAUUUGAAACUGUCAGACUUGAGUUAAGGAGAGGAAAGUGGAAUUCCUAGUGUAGCGGUGAAAUGCGUAGAUAUUAGGAGGAAUACCAGUGGCGAAGGCGACUUUCUGGACUUAUACUGACGCUGAGGAACGAAAGCGUGGGGAGCAAACAGGAUUAGAUACCCCGCGUAGUC
Molecule: ribosomal RNA, 423 nt
Filed under: uncultured bacterium
Lineage: Bacteria
Description: bacterial SSU rRNA
Rfam family: Bacterial small subunit ribosomal RNA
Source: RNAcentral